CAGUCGCCACGGUAAUACGUAGGGUGCAAGCGUUAAUCGGAAUUACUGGGCGUAAAGCGUGCGCAGGCGGUUCGCUAAGACAGAUGUGAAAUCCCCGGGCUUAACCUGGGAACUGCAUUUGUGACUGGCGGGCUAGAGUAUGGCAGAGGGGGGUAGAAUUCCACGUGUAGCAGUGAAAUGCGUAGAGAUGUGGAGGAAUACCGAUGGCGAAGGCAGCCCCCUGGGCCAAUACUGACGCUCAUGCACGAAAGCGUGGGGAGCAAACAGGAUUAGAUACCCCUGUAGUCCCUGUCUCUUAUAC
Molecule: ribosomal RNA, 301 nt
Filed under: uncultured bacterium
Lineage: Bacteria
Description: partial 16S ribosomal RNA
Rfam family: Bacterial small subunit ribosomal RNA
Source: RNAcentral